UCAUAACCAUCGUGCAUUUGCGUGGGGCCAUUCUGAAGCUGGAGUACCCGCUGGUUGCCUGGCAGUCAUAUUUCUGGGAUUACCCGUGACGGGGUAGAAUUCAGCUGCCUAUUCUUAAAGUGGGAGCUCAUAUUCUUGGUUUGAGACUGCCUCUUUUCAAAGAUGUGUGAUUUCAUCAGCCUCUAAUAACAACCCCAAGAGAUAGGAGAAACAGGUGUUAUUACUGAUCCGGAAAUGGAAGGAAUUGAUAUGGUUUAACCCACGAUCAUCCAGCAUAUGAGUCAGUAUCAGAGCCACAGACUCCUGACCCUGAAUACACCACCCCCUCAUCGCUCACUAGAGGGGCCGAGAGAGAAUCCUCAAGCAGAUUCCACGCCCAAUGCAGGGUCGUCGUGGGGCUUGAUAUCAGGACCCUGAGAUCAUGACCUGAUUGGAAAUCAAGAGUCAGAGGCUUAACCGACUGAGCCACCCAGGCGCCCCAACAAAAGUACUCUUUAAUUGUAAGUUCUUUUUCUUCCCGGUCCAAUGGAUUGACUUAUGUGCUACACUGGGUCUGUCCUGUGUCUGUGUUUUAAUUCCAUGACUAGACACUAAAUUUGUUGAGGGCAGGGAUGAUCAUUCCUUCUAUUUCAUUUGUGUUAACCCUGUUAUGGAUGACAGUGCUCUGUACACUGCAGGUACCCAGUGAAUUAUAUAGCUGACAAAUGAUUACUUAUUUCUGGUAUUACAACAAGAUCUCAUAAAAUAAACACGACAAACUCGUUGUUUGAAGUCCUGAACUUUCUAGGUCAAUCUCGGAAAAGGAAGUUCUUGACUGCCAUAGUAAUAUUUGUAGGCAUAUUAUAGGUAGGUGGGUGGGCCUUUUGGAAAUUGGCUGAGUAAUCCCACUUCAGAGUAAGUAACACGCAAGAGCUGUAGCUCUAUGCUCUCCCAACUGUGGGCUUCCGACCACGCAUAGUGCCACCUGGGAUACUUAUUAAAAAAUCAAAUUUCUAAGACCCACUCAGAUCCUAACCACAGUAUCUGGAGGUUGUAGCUCCAGGCACCCAUAUUUUUUUAAAUUUUAUU
Long non-coding RNA from Zalophus californianus (California sea lion), 1068 nucleotides. RefSeq lists it as uncharacterized. The transcript is spliced from 4 exons. NCBI's taxonomy places the organism in Eukaryota, Metazoa, Chordata, Mammalia, Carnivora, Otariidae. The record is from RefSeq and is a predicted model, not a curated record.